CCUACGGGGGACUGCAGUGAGGAAUAUUGGUCAAUGGACGCAAGUCUGAACCAGCCAUGCCGCGUGCAGGAAGACGGCCCUAUGAGUUGUAAACUUCUUUUGUACGAGGGUAAACGCAGACACGCGUAUCUGUUUGAAAGUAUCGUACGAAUAAGGAUCGGCUAACUCCGUGCCAGCAGCCGCGGUAAUACGGAGGAUUCAAGCGUUAUCCGGAUUUAUUGGGUUUAAAGGGUGCGUAGGCGGUCGGAUAAGUUAGAGGUGAAAUCCCGGGGCUCAACUUCGGAAUUGCCUUUGAUACUGAUCGGCUAGAGAGUAGUUGCGGUAGGCGGAAUGUGUGGUGUAGCGGUGAAAUGCUUAGAGAUCACACAGAACACCGAUUGCGAAGGCAGCUUACCAAGCUACUUCUGACGUUGAGGCACGAAAGCGUGGGUAGCAAACAGGAUUAGAUACCCGGGUAGUC
Molecule: ribosomal RNA, 460 nt
Filed under: uncultured bacterium
Lineage: Bacteria
Description: partial 16S ribosomal RNA
Rfam family: Bacterial small subunit ribosomal RNA
Source: RNAcentral